GACGAACGCUGGCGGCGUGCCUAAUACAUGCAAGUAGAACGCUGAAGCUUGGUGCUUGCACCAAGCGGAUGAGUUGCGAACGGGUGAGUAACGCGUAGGUAACCUGCCUGGUAGCGGGGGAUAACUAUUGGAAACGAUAGCUAAUACCGCAUAAAAUGGAUUAUCGCAUGAUAAUCAAUUGAAAGGUGCAAAUGCAUCACUACCAGAUGGACCUGCGUUGUAUUAGCUAGUUGGUGGGGUAACGGCUCACCAAGGCAACGAUACAUAGCCGACCUGAGAGGGUGACCGGCCACACUGGGACUGAGACACGGCCCAGACUCCUACGGGAGGCAGCAGUAGGGAAUCUUCGGCAAUGGACGGAAGUCUGACCGAGCAACGCCGCGUGAGUGAAGAAGGUUUUCGGAUCGUAAAGCUCUGUUGUAAGAGAAGAACGAGUGUGAGAGUGGAAAGUUCACACUGGACG
This 463-nucleotide ribosomal RNA is filed under the name Streptococcus sp. oral taxon 070. RNAcentral describes it as "bacterial SSU rRNA". It matches the Rfam family "Bacterial small subunit ribosomal RNA", at positions 28 to 474 of the family's 1533-position model. The record is from RNAcentral. Lineage: Bacteria; Bacillati; Bacillota; Bacilli; Lactobacillales; Streptococcaceae.